CCUACGGGUGGCAGCAGUGAGGAAUAUUGGUCAAUGGACGCAAGCCUGAACCAGCCAUGCCGCGUGCAGGAAGACGGCUCUAUGAGUUGUAAACUGCUUUUGUACGAGGGUAAACGCAGAUACGCGUAUCUGUCUGAAAUUAACGUACGAAUAAGGAUCGGCUAACUCCGUGCCAGCAGCCGCGGUAAGACGGAGGAUUCAAGCGUUAUCCGGAUUUAUUGGGUUUAAAGGGUGCGUAGGCGGUCGGAUAAGUUAGAGGUGAAAUCCCGAGGCUCAACUUCGGAAUUGCCUCUGAUACUGGUCGGCUAGAGAGUAGUUGCGGUAGGCGGAAUGUAUGGUGUAGCGGUGAAAUGCUUAGAGAUCAUACAGAACACCGAUUGCGAAGGCAGCUUACCAAGCUACUUCUGACGUUGAGGCACGAAAGCGUGGGGAGCAAACAGGAUUAGAUACCCUUGUAGUC
RNAcentral lists this ribosomal RNA (460 nucleotides) under uncultured bacterium. RNAcentral describes it as "partial 16S ribosomal RNA". It matches the Rfam family "Bacterial small subunit ribosomal RNA", at positions 338 to 795 of the family's 1533-position model. The record is from RNAcentral.